This 71-nucleotide transfer RNA is filed under the name Salipiger mucosus DSM 16094. It matches the Rfam family "tRNA". Rfam says of the family: Transfer RNA (tRNA) molecules are approximately 80 nucleotides in length. The record is from Rfam by way of RNAcentral. Lineage: Bacteria; Pseudomonadati; Pseudomonadota; Alphaproteobacteria; Rhodobacterales; Roseobacteraceae.
GUCCGGGUGGAGCAGCGGUAGCUCGCGUGGCUCAUAACCACGAGGUCGGAGGUUCGAACCCGUCCCCGGCA